Molecule: ribosomal RNA, 253 nt
Filed under: uncultured bacterium
Lineage: Bacteria
Description: partial 16S ribosomal RNA
Rfam family: Bacterial small subunit ribosomal RNA
Source: RNAcentral
UACGUAGGGUGCAAGCGUUGUCCGGAAUUAUUGGGCGUAAAGAGCUCGUAGGCGGUUUGUCGCGUCUGCUGUGAAAACUCGGGGCUUAACUCCGGGCCUGCAGUGGGUACGGGCAGACUAGAGUGCGGUAGGGGAGACUGGAAUUCCUGGUGUAGCGGUGAAAUGCGCAGAUAUCAGGAGGAACACCGGUGGCGAAGGCGGUUCUCUGGGCCUUACCUGACGCUGAGGAGCGAAAGCGUGGGGAGCAAACGGG